GUUCUGUAAGCCUGCGAAGGCGUGCUGUGAGGCAUGCUGGAGGUAUCAGAAGUGCGAAUGCUGACAUAAGUAACGAUAAAGCGGGUGAAAAGCCCGCUCGCCGGAAGACCAAGGGUUCCUGUCCAACGUUAAUCGGGGCAGGGUGAGUCGACCCCUAAGGCGAGGCCGAAAGGCGUAGUCGAUGGGAAACAGGUUAAUAUUCCUGUACUUGGUGUUACUGCGAAGGGGGGACGGAGAAGGCUAUGUUGGCCGGGCGACGGUUGUCCCGGUUUAAGCGUGUAGGCUGGUUUUCCAGGCAAAUCCGGAAAAUCAAGGCUGAGGCGUGAUGACGAGGCACUACGGUGCUGAAGCAACAAAUGCCCUGCUUCCAGGAAAAGCCUCUAAGCAUCAGGUAACAUCAAAUCGUACCCCAAACCGACACAGGUGGUCAGGUAGAGAAUACCAAGGCGCUUGAGAGAACUCGGGUGAAGGAACUAGGCAAAAUGGUGCCGUAACUUCGGGAGAAGGCACGCUGAUAUGUAGGUGAAGCGACUUGCUCGUGGAGCUGAAAUCAGUCGAAGAUACCAGCUGGCUGCAACUGUUUAUUAAAAACACAGCACUGUGCAAACACGAAAGUGGACGUAUACGGUGUGACGCCUGCCCGGUGCCGGAAGGUUAAUUGAUGGGGUUAGCGCAAGCGAAGCUCUUGAUCGAAGCCCCGGUAAACGGCGGCCGUAACUAUAACGGUCCUAAGGUAGCGAAAUUCCUUGUCGGGUAAGUUCCGACCUGCACGAAUGGCGUAAUGAUGGCCAGGCUGUCUCCACCCGAGACUCAGUGAAAUUGAACUCGCUGUGAAGAUGCAGUGUACCCGCGGCAAGACGGAAAGACCCCGUGAACCUUUACUAUAGCUUGACACUGAACAUUGAGCCUUGAUGUGUAGGAUAGGUGGGAGGCUUUGAAGUGUGGACGCCAGUCUGCAUGGAGCCGACCUUGAAAUACCACCCUUUAAUGUUUGAUGUUCUAACGUUGACCCGUAAUCCGGGUUGCGGACAGUGUCUGGUGGGUAGUUUGACUGGGGCGGUCUCCUCCUAAAGAGUAACGGAGGAGCACGAAGGUUGGCUAAUCCUGGUCGGACAUCAGGAGGUUAGUGCAAUGGCAUAAGCCAGCUUGACUGCGAGCGUGACGGCGCGAGCAGGUGCGAAAGCAGGUCAUAGUGAUCCGGUGGUUCUGAAUGGAAGGGCCAUCGCUCAACGGAUAAAAGGUACUCCGGGGAUAACAGGCUGAUACCGCCCAAGAGUUCAUAUCGACGGCGGUGUUUGGCACCUCGAUGUCGGCUCAUCACAUCCUGGGGCUGAAGUAGGUCCCAAGGGUAUGGCUGUUCGCCAUUUAAAGUGGUACGCGAGCUGGGUUUAGAACGUCGUGAGACAGUUCGGUCCCUAUCUGCCGUGGGCGCUGGAGAACUGAGGGGGGCUGCUCCUAGUACGAGAGGACCGGAGUGGACGCAUCACUGGUGUUCGGGUUGUCAUGCCAAUGGCACUGCCCGGUAGCUAAAUGCGGAAGAGAUAAGUGCUGAAAGCAUCUAAGCACGAAACUUGCCCCGAGAUGAGUUCUCCCUGACUCCUUGAGAGUCCUGAAGGAACGUUGAAGACGACGACGUU
This 1637-nucleotide ribosomal RNA is filed under the name soil metagenome. RNAcentral describes it as "bacterial LSU rRNA". It matches the Rfam family "Bacterial large subunit ribosomal RNA", at positions 1238 to 2854 of the family's 2925-position model. The record is from RNAcentral.